GACGAACGCUGGCGGCGUGCUUAACACAUGCAAGUCGAACGGAAAGGCCCUGCUUUUGUGGGGUGCUCGAGUGGCGAACGGGUGAGUAACACGUGAGUAACCUGCCCUUGACUUUGGGAUAACUUCAGGAAACUGGGGCUAAUACCGGAUAGGAGCUCCUGCUGCAUGGUGGGGGUUGGAAAGUUUCGGCGGUUGGGGAUGGACUCGCGGCUUAUCAGCUUGUUGGUGGGGUAGUGGCUUACCAAGGCUUUGACGGGUAGCCGGCCUGGGAGGGUGACCGGCGACAUUGGGCCUGAGGUACGGCCCAGACGCGUACGGGAGGCAGCAGUGGGGAAUAUUGCACAGUGGGCGGAAGCCUGAUGCGGCGACGCCGCGUGCGGGAUGACGGCCUGCGGGGUGUGAACCGCUUUCGCCUGUGACGAAGCGUGAGUGACGGUAAUGGGUAAAGAAGCACCGGCUAACUACGUG
This 468-nucleotide ribosomal RNA is filed under the name uncultured bacterium. RNAcentral's name for it is "partial 16S ribosomal RNA". It matches the Rfam family "Bacterial small subunit ribosomal RNA", at positions 28 to 507 of the family's 1533-position model. The record is from RNAcentral.